AGUGAACGCUGGCGGUAGGCCUAACACAUGCAAGUCGAACGGCAGCACAGUAAGAGCUUGCUCUUACGGGUGGCGAGUGGCGGACGGGUGAGGAAUACAUCGGAAUCUACUUUUUCGUGGGGGAUAACGUAGGGAAACUUACGCUAAUACCGCAUACGACCUACGGGUGAAAGCAGGGGAUCUUCGGACCUUGCGCGAUUGAAUGAGCCGAUGUCGGAUUAGCUAGUUGGCGGGGUAAAGGCCCACCAAGGCGACGAUCCGUAGCUGGUCUGAGAGGAUGAUCAGCCACACUGGAACUGAGACACGGCCCAGACUCCUACGGGAGGCAGCAGUGGGGAAUAUUGGUCAAUGGGCGCAAGCCUGAUCCAGCCAUACCGCGUGGGUGAAGAAGGCCUUCGGGUUGUAAAGCCCUUUUGUUGGGAAAGAAAAGCAGCAGGUUAAUACCCCGCUGUUCUGACGGUACCCAAAGAAUAAGCACCGGCUAACUUCGUG
This 492-nucleotide ribosomal RNA is filed under the name uncultured bacterium. Its description in RNAcentral is "partial 16S ribosomal RNA". It matches the Rfam family "Bacterial small subunit ribosomal RNA", at positions 29 to 507 of the family's 1533-position model. The record is from RNAcentral.